RNAcentral lists this ribosomal RNA (388 nucleotides) under uncultured bacterium. Its description in RNAcentral is "bacterial SSU rRNA". It matches the Rfam family "Bacterial small subunit ribosomal RNA", at positions 30 to 416 of the family's 1533-position model. The record is from RNAcentral.
AUUGAACGCUGGCGGAAUGCCUUACACAUGCAAGUCGAACGGCAGCACGGGAGCUUGCUCCUGGUGGCGAGUGGCGAACGGGUGAGUAAUACAUCGGAACGUACCCUGAAGUGGGGGAUAACGUAGCGAAAGUUACGCUAAUACCGCAUAUUCUGUGAGCAGGAAAGAGGGGGAUCGCAAGACCUCUUGCUUUAGGAGCGGCCGAUGUCGGAUUAGCUAGUUGGUGAGGUAAAGGCUCACCAAGGCGACGAUCCGUAGCGGGUCUGAGAGGAUGAUCCGCCACACUGGGACUGAGACACGGCCCAGACUCCUACGGGAGGCAGCAGUGGGGAAUUUUGGACAAUGGGCGCAAGCCUGAUCCAGCCAUGCCGCGUGAGUGAAGAAGGCC